This 477-nucleotide ribosomal RNA is filed under the name uncultured bacterium. RNAcentral describes it as "partial 16S ribosomal RNA". It matches the Rfam family "Bacterial small subunit ribosomal RNA", at positions 28 to 507 of the family's 1533-position model. The record is from RNAcentral.
GAUUAACGCUGGCGGCGUGCAUAACACAUGCAAGUCGAACGAUGAAACUUUAAUGAACCCUUCGGGGAGAAUUAAAGCGGAUUAGUGGCGAACGGGUGAGUAACGCGUGAGUAACCUGCCUUACACAAGGGGAUAGCCUUUGGAAACGAAGAAUAAUACCCUAUCAAACCAUAAAAGCACAUGCAAUUAUGGUCAAAGUGAUAGCGGUGUAAGAUGGACUUGCGUCUGAUUAGCUAGUUGGUGAGAUAAAAGCCCACCAAGGCAACGAUCAGUAGCCGGCUUGAGAGAGUGUACGGCCACAUUGGGACUGAGACACGGCCCAGACUCCUACGGGAGGCAGCAGUGGGGAAUUUUGCACAAUGGGGGAAACCCUGAUGCAGCGACGCCGCGUGAUUUAGAAGGCCUUCGGGUUGUAAAAAUCUUUUGUAUAGGAAGAAAAUGACAGUACUAUACGAAUAAGGUCCGGCUAAUUACGUG